RNAcentral lists this ribosomal RNA (413 nucleotides) under uncultured bacterium. Its description in RNAcentral is "bacterial SSU rRNA". It matches the Rfam family "Bacterial small subunit ribosomal RNA", at positions 505 to 916 of the family's 1533-position model. The record is from RNAcentral.
GUGCCAGCAGCCGCGGUAAUACGGAGGGUGCGAGCGUUAAUCGGAAUUACUGGGCGUAAAGGGCGCGUAGGCGGUCGCGCAAGUCGGGUGUGAAAGCCCCGGGCUCAACCUGGGAAUUGCAUUCGAUACUGCGUAACUAGAGUCUGGUAGAGGGAAGCGGAAUUCCGCAUGUAGCGGUGAAAUGCGUAGAUAUGCGGAGGAACACCAGUGGCGAAGGCGGCUUCCUGGACCAAGACUGACGCUGAGGCGCGAAAGCGUGGGGAGCAAACAGGAUUAGAUACCCUGGUAGUCCACGCCCUAAACGAUGAGGACUGGACGUUGGGUGCAAUUUGGCACUCAGUGUCGAAGCUAACGCGUUAAGUUCGCCGCCUGGGGAGUACGGUCGCAAGACUGAAACUUAAAUGAAUUGACGG